CCAAGGCUUGCGAGCGGAGGAAGAAACAACUGCAAACGUGGAGCUGAGGCCGGGACAGAACGGCAGACAUGAAAGCAGCGGGCGGCUUAUUGUGUGGCCGCGCACCUUCUUCCCUGAUGAUGUCCCAUAUCUGUGGCCGCCUUGAGGUAACAGGAAAGAGCAGGAGAUGAGGAGGAGAGGGAAGCAGUGGAGCCGCUCAGGUCCGAAGUCACCGGGAGAGAGGAUCGUUUGCACCUCCUCGCAUCAACAGGUUGGGGGGCAGAUGAGUGUCACUCAGCAGAGCCCGGCCGUUCACUGUUGCAGCCAUCUGCAGGUGAACUCUGCUACUUGGGUUUUAAGUCUGUGGCAGAGAGGAUUCAUACUGCUGCCAUCCUUCCACCUGCCAUGCUCAGCUCCUGUCUUGUCAUCUUGGAUUUUGUUUGCCUGCGGAUUCCUGUGGAUUCCUGUCUAUAAAUACAUCUCUGCCAUUAUCGUGCCGGACUGUCUACAGCCCCAUGCCCUCAGCAUCAUAACC
This is a long non-coding RNA of Seriola dumerili (greater amberjack), 514 nucleotides long. RefSeq lists it as uncharacterized. Lineage: Eukaryota; Metazoa; Chordata; Actinopteri; Carangiformes; Carangidae. The record is from RefSeq and is a predicted model, not a curated record. The transcript is spliced from 4 exons.